Molecule: ribosomal RNA, 405 nt
Filed under: uncultured bacterium
Lineage: Bacteria
Description: partial 16S ribosomal RNA
Rfam family: Bacterial small subunit ribosomal RNA
Source: RNAcentral
GAUGAACGCUGGCGGCGUGCCUAAUACAUGCAAGUCGAGCGAAGCGGGGACGGGUGAGUAACACGUGGAUAACCUCCUCUAAGACUGGGAUAACCUCGGGAAACCGGAGCUAAUCCGGCUAAUUAUCGCUGGUUCCGCUCUGCAUUAGCUAGUUGGUAAGGUAACGGCUUACCCAGGCAACGAUGCAUCGCCGACCUGAGAGGGUGAUCGGCCACACUGGAACUGAGACACGGUCCAGACUCCUACGGGAGGCAGCAGUAGGGAAUCUUCCGCAAUGGGCGAAAGCCUGACGCAGCAAUGCCGCGUGAGUGAUGAAGGUCUUCGGAUCGUAAAGCACUGUUAUUGGGGAAGCGGUACCUAAUCAGAAAGCCACGGCUAACUACGUGCCAGCAGCCGCGGUAAUUC